UGUUCAUAAUAUUUUUUUAAGACCGAGAAGUCUAAUUAAGUUUCUCCCUUGUGUAAGUAUGGGUAAAACCAGAGCGCUUUCAUAGUAUCGAAUCAACAUAUUAUUUUAAUUUGAUAACAAAAGUUUUGCAUGAUUUCACAUCAGUUUGAUUAAUGAGCGAUAUUUGUGUACAUUACUACAUAGUGAGCUAUAAAAAUCAUUGCAAUCAGUUCACAGUUGGAACAAUAUCCUGUUUAGAUUUACAUUUUUAAGUAUACAUAUACAACAUCAAAUACAUAUAAAAUCAAAGUAGUGCUUUCGGUAUUUAUUUUCGGUAUUCUAAAAAUGAAUACUGGAUUGAAUCAUGUUUCCUUGAAAUUGAAUCUUAGCAGUAAGGUCAUUAUAAGUGGCUGCAGGAUAGUUCGAAAGAGUUACCGCGGCCUUUGAACAUGUAAGAGUCCGACACUCCCUCACCGCUGCUAACCCACAGCAGGAGGAGGCAGUUUUGAUGAUUUCCCAUAAAAAAGUGAAGUCCUUAAAAUAAAUGAAAAAAAAAUCCACACAUACCACUAACAAGCAUCUGCAAGCUCUGUAUCUCCGACUUCUGGUUCUCACUGAGGGUCUGCAGCUGCUGCAGCUCAGCCCGGAGCCCCAGCACCUCCGACUCCAACUGCUCCUUGUCCUGAAGCAUCUUCCUCAUGUCCUCUGCAAAGAGUGAGGGGAACCACAUAAAUAUUAGUAAGUUACGAGGAAAAAGGCAGAAAUUGAAAGAUUUGGAGGAGGCCUUUGUCUAAAGAUGGACAAUCAAAGGGGUUUGAUGGAUGGAUGAAGUUAAGAGAGGUUUUUCAAGAGAAACUUGUGGUUAAGAAACAGCAUCACAGCAGUAUCUGGUUAACUGGGUCGAGGAAGUCAGAAAGUCACUUUCUGUAGUUGGGAAUAGGCUAUGCAGAUGAUGAUGAGAGCUCUCUAUUGGGUGAAUAAUGGGUGGUGAGUUGGUGUGUGAAUUUAAUCACAAAUAUUUCUUACAGCUGUGUAAAUGUUGAUUGAAUAAACUGGAAACCAUGCACCUAAGGGUAAUUUGCGACAUUAACAGAAAAACGCAACAAUCUAUAAUAAAGUUAAAAUGCUAACCUUAACCAAUAUUAACUAGAAUACCAACCAAUCACCAUUUUACUUAAACUUUCUAUCUAUGUUAUCUAACUAAAAAAACCUUUUAAAUACAGUUACUAUUUGUGUGUUAUGAAUCUAAUUUGUUUAUGGAAGAUUUUAUAUUAGACAAUUUUUUAUAAUUAUAAAAUUAAUUCCAUGUCUGUUGAGAUCUCCACAAAAUUUAUAUUUCACAUUACAUAUUAUAUUGGGUGAAAUUAAUGAAAGAUGAUCUGCCAUUUCAAAAUAAACUCAAAUAAAACAUAAAACUACCAAGUUAUAUCCUGCAUUAGAUGCAGUCAACAAAAGAUAAAUUAAUGUUGCAAUAACAAAUGAUAUAAAAACCACUCUGUAAUUACAAAUGACCUUCAACAAUGUAGGUAUUUGUGUUACAUUGCAUUUUCAUUAUUUACAAGACAAAACUUCAGGUGUAAAUAUCUAUAUAGAAAUGAAGUGACAUACAUUGCAAACAGUGAAGUUAUAACAUAUAAGUGUUAAUGCUGUUGUAGCUCUGAAGAUAACACAUGCAAGUUUAAUGCAUCAACCAUAGUAAUGUCAUUAGUGCAUGAUGUUCCUCUCCCCACUACCUCAUGUUAUGUACCAACCAGCCGCACCAAGCAGGACGGUGCUCACACAUGAACAAGCUACAGGUCUCAUCACAUUCACAGUCACCAGGGAUCCAAACAAUUACCAGAACAAAGGCAAACUACUAAUUAGGACUUAGUGUAAAACUGACAUUCAACCACAAGAAAACAAACUUAUCACGUGAAUAAUAAGUAUUUCAUGCAAUGUAACCAACCAGAACCAAGACUACAAUACCCCCGCGCGGCCUACUCUGCUGAUAACGGACAACGAACCUUCUUUUUGCAAGAACAACUCUUUCAUUUUCGCUCGUUGAACAUUAAAUUCUUCUUCUAGUAAUCUCCUCGUUUGGUCCGCGGCCGGGCCGUUGCACUCGCCCGCGGCCUCCACUUGAAACAGAAACACCAUUGAGUGCUUCUACGGUAGACAUUAUAGCCUAAAUUAGCAAACAAUUGAACAAAAUAACACACCUUUCGGACCGUCUGUGUUCUCACUAGACAUCGUGGACUGGCUGUCCAUUUACUUGAUUCACUGCUAAAACAAUGCUAUUCUUCGAAUUGUUUGCAUUGUUACACAGAUUUAGAACUUUGAAAUUUUAGAAAUUACGAAAAUUGUUGAGAAAAAGAUGAAA
Helicoverpa armigera (cotton bollworm) is the source of this 2338-nucleotide long non-coding RNA. RefSeq lists it as uncharacterized. The record is from RefSeq and is a predicted model, not a curated record. The transcript has 2 exons. Lineage: Eukaryota; Metazoa; Arthropoda; Insecta; Lepidoptera; Noctuidae.